RNAcentral lists this ribosomal RNA (520 nucleotides) under uncultured Entrophospora. RNAcentral's name for it is "SSU rRNA". It matches the Rfam family "Eukaryotic small subunit ribosomal RNA", at positions 569 to 1086 of the family's 1831-position model. The record is from RNAcentral. Lineage: Eukaryota; Fungi; Glomeromycota; Glomeromycetes; Entrophosporales; Entrophosporaceae.
AGCAGCCGCGGUAAUUCCAGCUCCAAUAGCGUAUAUUAAAGUUGUUGCAGUUAAAAAGCUCGUAGUUGAAUUUCGGGAUUGGCGCAUCGGUCGUGCCUCACGGGGUAUGAACUGGUGCAGUCAAUUUCUCACCUUCUGGAGAACCGCGAUGUCCUUAAUUGGAUGCCGCGGGGAACCAGGACCUUUACUUUGAAAAAAUUGAGUGUUUAAAGCAGGCAUUUUUGCUUGAAUACAUUAGCAUGGAAUAAUAAAUAGGACGGCAUGGUUCUAUUUUGUUGGUUUCUAGGACCACCGUAAUGAUUAAUAGGGAUAGUUGGGGGCAUUAGUAUUCGAUUGUCAGAGGUGAAAUUCUUGGAUUUAUUGAAGACUAACUACUGCGAAAGCAUUUGCCAAGGAUGUUUUCAUUAAUCAAGAACGAAAGUUAGGGAUCGAAGACGAUCAGAUACCGUCGUAGUCUUAACCAUAAACUAUGCCGACUAGGAAUCAGACGAUGUUAAUUUUUAAUGUACUCGUUGGCUAC